This 506-nucleotide ribosomal RNA is filed under the name uncultured bacterium. RNAcentral describes it as "partial 16S ribosomal RNA". It matches the Rfam family "Bacterial small subunit ribosomal RNA", at positions 29 to 523 of the family's 1533-position model. The record is from RNAcentral.
AGUGAACGCUGGCGGUAGGCCUAACACAUGCAAGUCGAACGGCAGCACAGGAGAGCUUGCUCUCUGGGUGGCGAGUGGCGGACGGGUGAGGAAUACAUCGGAAUCUACUCUGUCGUGGGGGAUAACGUAGGGAAACUUACGCUAAUACCGCAUACGACCUACGGGUGAAAGCAGGGGAUCUUCGGACCUUGCGCGAUUGAAUGAGCUCAUUUCGGAUUAACUAGUUGGCGGGGUAAAGGCCCACCAAGGCGACGAUCCGUAGCUGGUCUGAGAGGAUGAUCAGCCACACUGGAACUGAGACACGGUCCAGACUCCUACGGGAGGCAGCAGUGGGGAAUAUUGGACAAUGGGCGCAAGCCUGAUCCAGCCAUACCGCGUGGGUGAAGAAGGCCUUCGGGUUGUAAAGCCCUUUUGUUGGGAAAGAAAUCCAGCUGGCUAAUACCCGGUUGGGAUGACGGUACCCAAAGAAUAAGCACCGGCUAACUUCGUGCCAGCCGCCGCCGUAA